Molecule: ribosomal RNA, 849 nt
Filed under: uncultured Fusobacterium sp.
Lineage: Bacteria; Fusobacteriati; Fusobacteriota; Fusobacteriia; Fusobacteriales; Fusobacteriaceae
Description: bacterial SSU rRNA
Rfam family: Bacterial small subunit ribosomal RNA
Source: RNAcentral
GAUGAACGCUGACAGAAUGCUUAACACAUGCAAGUCAACUUGAACUUCGGUUUGGGUGGCGGACGGGUGAGUAACGCGUAAAGAACUUGCCUCACAGUUAGGGACAACAUUUAGAAAUGAAUGCUAAUACCUAAUAUUAUGAUAAUAGGGCAUCCUAUAAUUAUGAAAGCUAUAUGCGCUGUGAGAGAGCUUUGCGUCCCAUUAGCUAGUUGGAGAGGUAACGGCUCACCAAGGCGAUGAUGGGUAGCCGGCCUGAGAGGGUGAUCGGCCACAAGGGGACUGAGACACGGCCCUUACUCCUACGGGAGGCAGCAGUGGGGAAUAUUGGACAAUGGACCAAGAGUCUGAUCCAGCAAUUCUGUGUGCACGAUGAAGUUUUUCGGAAUGUAAAGUGCUUUCAGUUGGGAAGAAAAAAAUGACGGUACCAACAGAAGAAGUGACGGCUAAAUACGUGCCAGCAGCCGCGGUAAUACGUAUGUCACGAGCGUUAUCCGGAUUUAUUGGGCGUAAAGCGCGUCUAGGUGGUUAUGUAAGUCUGAUGUGAAAAUGCAGGGCUCAACUCUGUAUUGCGUUGGAAACUGUAUAACUAGAGUACUGAGAGGUAAGCGGAACUACAAGUGUAGAGGUGAAAUUCGUAGAUAUUUGCAGGAAUGCCGAUGGGGAAGCAAGCUUAUUGGACAGAUACUGACGCUAAGCGCGAAAGCGUGGGUAGCAAACAGGAUUAAGAUACCUAGUUAGUCUAUGUGCUAUUUCCACUUUGGGUGGCAGCGGGGGGGACCCACAGUUCUGAAGCGCCGCACUGGGUGAACUUCAUUCUGACGAGUAGUAGAUUCUUAUAAAGAAAAAAAG